Molecule: ribosomal RNA, 484 nt
Filed under: uncultured bacterium
Lineage: Bacteria
Description: partial 16S ribosomal RNA
Rfam family: Bacterial small subunit ribosomal RNA
Source: RNAcentral
AUUGAACGCUGGCGGAAUGCUUUACACAUGCGAGUCGAGCGGCAGCACGGGGGCAACCCUGGUGGCGAGCGGCGAACGGGUGAGUAACACAUCGGAACAUGCCCAGUCGUGGGGGAUAACACUUCGAAAGAAGUGCUAAUACCGCAUACGUCCUGAGGGAGAAAGCGGGGGAUCGCAAGACCUCGCGCGAUUGGAGUGGCCGAUGUCAGAUUAGCUAGUUGGUGGGGUAAAGGCCUACCAAGGCAACGAUCUGUAGCUGGUCUGAGAGGAUGAUCAGCCACACUGGGACUGAGACACGGCCCAGACUCCUACGGGAGGCAGCAGUGGGGAAUUUUGGACAAUGGGGGCAACCCUGAUCCAGCCAUUCCGCGUGAGUGAAGAAGGCCUUCGGGUUGUAAAGCUCUUUCGGCAGGAACGAAACGGUGAGCUCUAACAUAGCUUGCUAAUGACGGUACCUGAAAAAGAAGCACCGGCUAACUACGUG